RNAcentral lists this ribosomal RNA (644 nucleotides) under Leptolyngbya sp. ISTCY101. RNAcentral's name for it is "bacterial SSU rRNA". It matches the Rfam family "Bacterial small subunit ribosomal RNA", at positions 127 to 804 of the family's 1533-position model. Lineage: Bacteria; Bacillati; Cyanobacteriota; Cyanophyceae; Leptolyngbyales; Leptolyngbyaceae. The record is from RNAcentral.
UGAGCGUAGCAGUAGGAUACGGUUGGAACGACCGCUAAUACCGCAUAUGCCGAGAGGUGAAAGGAUUAAUUGCCUGAGGAUGAGCUCGCGUCGGAUUAGCUAGUUGGUGGGGUAAGAGCCUACCAAGGCGACGAUCCGUAGCUGGUCUGAGAGGAUGACCAGCCACACUGGGACUGAGACACGGCCCAGACUCCUACGGGAGGCAGCAGUGGGGAAUUUUCCGCAAUGGGCGCAAGCCUGACGGAGCAAGACCGCGUGAGGGAAGAAGGUCUGUGGAUUGUAAACCUCUUUUGAUAGGGAAGAAGUACUGACGGUACCUAUCGAAUCAGCCUCGGCUAACUCCGUGCCAGCAGCCGCGGUAAUACGGAGGAGGCAAGCGUUAUCCGGAAUUAUUGGGCGUAAAGCGUCCGUAGGUGGUUGGUCAAGUCUUCGGUUAAAGCGCGGAGCUUAACUCCGUAAGGGCCGAGGAAACUGGUCAGCUAGAGUGCGAUAGGGGCAAGGGGAAUUCCCAGUGUAGCGGUGAAAUGCGUAGAUAUUGGGAAGAACACCGGUGGCGAAAGCGCCUUGCUGGGUCUGCACUGACACUGAGGGACGAAAGCUAGGGGAGCGAAAGGGAUUAGAUACCCCUGUAAUCCCUAGCAAAA